This 397-nucleotide ribosomal RNA is filed under the name uncultured bacterium. RNAcentral describes it as "partial 16S ribosomal RNA". It matches the Rfam family "Bacterial small subunit ribosomal RNA", at positions 523 to 918 of the family's 1533-position model. The record is from RNAcentral.
AUACGUAGGGGGCGAGCGUUGUCCGGAAUGAUUGGGCGUAAAGGGCGCGUAGGCGGCGCGGUAAGUCUGGAGUGAAAGUCCUGCUUUCAAGGUGGGAAUUGCUUUGGAUACUGCCGCGCUUGAGUGCAGGAGAGGUUAUCGGAAUUCCCGGUGUAGCGGUGAAAUGCGUAGAGAUCGGGAGGAACACCAGUGGCGAAGGCGGGUAACUGGACUGCAACUGACGCUGAGGCGCGAAAGUGUGGGGAGCAAACAGGAUUAGAUACCCUGGUAGUCCACACUGUAAACGAUGAAUGCUAGGUGUAAGAGGUAUCGACCCCUUUUGUGCCGGAGUCAACACAAUAAGCAUUCCGCCUGGGGAGUACGGCCGCAAGGCUAAAACUCAAAUGAAUUGACGGGG